GAGGGUGGAGCUCAGUGGUAGAGCGUGUGCUUCACAGGCACGAGGUCCUGGGUUCAAGCCCCAGUACCUCCA
This is a transfer RNA of Camelus ferus (Wild Bactrian camel), 72 nucleotides long. It matches the Rfam family "tRNA". Rfam says of the family: Transfer RNA (tRNA) molecules are approximately 80 nucleotides in length. Their secondary structure includes four short double-helical elements and three loops (D, anti-codon, and T loops). NCBI's taxonomy places the organism in Eukaryota, Metazoa, Chordata, Mammalia, Artiodactyla, Camelidae. The record is from Rfam.